GCCUGGUUGAAGAGAUGAACAAACAAAAGCAGAGGGGAUGAUACCUGCCUGGAUGAAGAGAGCUGCAGCUUGGUUGGGUGGAAAGGAUCCUGAGAGGCCCUAGUCAAGCUUUGGCGACUGGGGCUGAAGCAUUCCAGUGUCCCUGAAAGCAGUUAGGAAGCAGAAUGGGUGGCGGUAUGAGAUCUUCAUCACAGUAACGUUAUUGAAUUUAAGAAUCUAUGUUAAUCCUCAGUGUGAGCAGCAUUGGCACUAGUAUGUGUAGGGGAGUGUUCAUAUAGGGAGGUACAGUAGUCUCUAAACAUUGUG
Pelobates cultripes (western spadefoot toad) is the source of this 306-nucleotide non-coding RNA. The record is from the annotation of a GenBank genome assembly. NCBI's taxonomy places the organism in Eukaryota, Metazoa, Chordata, Amphibia, Anura, Pelobatidae.